AUGAACGCUGGCGCGUGCUUAAUACAUGCAAGUCGAACGAAGCACUUUUUGACAGAUCCCUUCGGGGUGAAGAUGAUUGUGACUUAGUGGCGGACGGGUGAGUAACGCGUGGGUAACCUGCCUCAUGCAGGGGGAUAACAGUUAGAAAUGACUGCUAAUACCGCAUAAGCGCACGCUAUCGCAUGAUAGAGUGUGAAAAGAUUUAUCGGCAUGAGAUGGACCCGCGUCUGAUUAGGUAGUUGGUGGGGUAACGGCCUACCAAGCCGACGAUCAGUAGCCGACUUGAGAGAGUGAUCGGCCACAUUGGGACUGAGACACGGCCCAGACUCCUACGGGAGGCAGCAGUAGGGAAUAUUGCACAAUGGGGGAAACCCUGAUGCAAGCGACGCCGCGUGAGUGAAGAAGUAUUUCGGUACGUAAAGCUCUAUCAGCAGGGAAGAUAAUGACGGUACCUGACUAAGAAGCCCCGGCUAACUACGUGCCAGCAGCGGC
RNAcentral lists this ribosomal RNA (492 nucleotides) under uncultured bacterium. RNAcentral describes it as "bacterial SSU rRNA". It matches the Rfam family "Bacterial small subunit ribosomal RNA", at positions 29 to 518 of the family's 1533-position model. The record is from RNAcentral.